This 250-nucleotide unclassified non-coding RNA is filed under the name plant metagenome. RNAcentral describes it as "partial contains small subunit ribosomal RNA, internal transcribed spacer 1, and 5.8S ribosomal RNA". The record is from RNAcentral.
GUAGGUGAACCUGCGGAAGGAUCAUUACAGAGUAACUGCCCUUUGGGUAGAUCUCCACCCUUGCUUAUCAUACCUUUGUUGCUUUGGCGGCCCGCCUCGAUCAGAGCCGCUGGCUUUCAGCUGGUGUGUGGCCGCCAGAGGACCUCCAACUCUCCAUAUAUGUAUCGUCUGAGUCUUAUAUAAUAGUUAAAACUUUCAACAACGGAUCUCUUGGUUCUGGCAUCGAUGAAGAACGCAGCAUCUGACUGAC